Molecule: long non-coding RNA, 325 nt
Organism: Carassius carassius (crucian carp)
Lineage: Eukaryota; Metazoa; Chordata; Actinopteri; Cypriniformes; Cyprinidae
Exons: 3
Source: RefSeq, a predicted model, not a curated record
UUUCUGCUUUGUUUCCUACCUGGCCAACCUCGCAGGAGAUCAAUCACGCUUUGACGCAUUCCUCAUGGUUACUUGAACAAUGUCUGGAUUUUGACAGCUGGCUCAAUGUCCCUGGUUGGCCUCCAUAUGUUCCCGACCUCUCUGCUGGUCAGGAGCUUAUGAUCUGCAGGGAUCAUAACCUAGACUUGGAAUCUAUCUGUUAUAUAAAACUGAUAUAAAACUGUGGAAGACCUACCAAACUGUCUACUUCUUGAAUAAGAUCCUUGAGAAGUCACCACUUCCAGAUGGGGAAACAGGUUUAUCGGGCUCUUUGCAAUGGAUCAGA